Molecule: long non-coding RNA, 837 nt
Filed under: Pan troglodytes (chimpanzee)
Lineage: Eukaryota; Metazoa; Chordata; Mammalia; Primates; Hominidae
Description: lincRNA
Source: RNAcentral
CUCCCACCCACUCCUGCCCGUCCGUCUUCUGCCAUGGGAUGAUGCAGUAAGAAGGCCCUCGCCAGAUGCUGGCGCCUUGAUCUUGGACUUCUCAGCCUUCAGAACUAGAACACCACCACUAAUGGGAAGACUGCCCCCUGACCGGCACAUGGUCUCAGCAUUCAUCCACAGAUGCUCCUCAAAUUGUUUUAAAAACAGCUUUUUUAAAAAGCUGUUUGUCUAUGAAGAUUAAAUGAGUUAAUAAUAUAAGCAAAGCACUUUGCAUGGCUAUUGGGCGCAGUGGUUCACGCCUGUAAUUCCAGCACUUUGGGAGGCCGAAGCAGGUGGAUCACGUGAGGUCAGGAGUUCAAGAGCAGCCUGAUCAACAUGGCGAAACCCUGUCUCUAUUAAAAAUACAAAAAAAUUAGCCAGGCGUGGUGGCACGUGCCUGUAAUCCCAGCUACUUGGGAGGCUAAGGCAGGAGAAUCGCUUGAACCUGGGAGGCAGAGGUUGCAGUGAGCCAAGAUCUCACCGUUGCACUCCAGCCUGGUUGACAGAGCAAGACUCUCUCAAAAAACAAAAAAAAACCAGCUUUUGUCCAGAGGUUGCUUUUUGUGGGUCUGUACGCUGAGGCCAAGUUCUAUGUAAGCAGAGCCCUCCCACCUCACCUCCAAACAAUGCCUCUAAACCAUCACAAUCUGAAAGGAAAAUAAAUCCCUUUCUUCAAUGGUGACCUGAAGCUAGCCAAGGGCCGGGUGCUGGCAGGUGGCCUGCGAGACUGGGUCGGAUCCCGGGUUAGUGUCUGAGGAGGGAUGCCGUGCUGUAAGGGUUGGGGAGCCAGUGUCUGGCUUCCUUGUC